GGCUUCUUUGCUGACGAGUGGCGGACGGGUGAGUAAUGUCUGGGAAACUGCCUGAUGGAGGGGGAUAACUACUGGAAACGGUAGCUAAUACCGCAUAACGUCGCAAGACCAAAGAGGGGGACCUUCGGGCCUCUUGCCAUCGGAUGUGCCCAGAUGGGAUUAGCUAGUAGGUGGGGUAAAGGCUCACCUAGGCGACGAUCCCUAGCUGGUCUGAGAGGAUGACCAGCCACACUGGAACUGAGACACGGUCCAGACUCCUACGGGAGGCAGCAGUGGGGAAUAUUGCACAAUGGGCGCAAGCCUGAUGCAGCCAUGCCGCGUGUAUGAAGAAGGCCUUCGGGUUGUAAAGUACUUUCAGCGGGGAGGAAGGGAGUAAAGUUAAUACCUUUGCUCAUUGACGUUACCCGCAGAAGAAGCACCGGCUAACUCCGUGCCAGCAGCCGCGGUAAUACGGAGGGUGCAAGCGUUAAUCGGAAUUACUGGGCGUAAAGCGCACGCAGGCGGUUUGUUAAGUCAGAUGU
This 521-nucleotide ribosomal RNA is filed under the name Escherichia coli. RNAcentral's name for it is "bacterial SSU rRNA". It matches the Rfam family "Bacterial small subunit ribosomal RNA", at positions 78 to 595 of the family's 1533-position model. Lineage: Bacteria; Pseudomonadati; Pseudomonadota; Gammaproteobacteria; Enterobacterales; Enterobacteriaceae. The record is from RNAcentral.